UUUUAAUUGAGAGUUUGAUCCUGGCUCAGGACGAACGCU
Molecule: ribosomal RNA, 39 nt
Filed under: Eubacterium barkeri
Lineage: Bacteria; Bacillati; Bacillota; Clostridia; Eubacteriales; Eubacteriaceae
Description: 16S rRNA. Bacterial SSU
Source: RNAcentral